AUUGAACGCUGGCGGCAGGCCUAACACAUGCAAGUCGAGCGGAUGAAGGGAGCUUGCUCCUGGAUUCAGCGGCGGACGGGUGAGUAAUGCCUAGGAAUCUGCCUGGUAGUGGGGGAUAACGUCCGGAAACGGGCGCUAAUACCGCAUACGUCCUGAGGGAGAAAGUGGGGGAUCUUCGGACCUCACGCUAUCAGAUGAGCCUAGGUCGGAUUAGCUAGUUGGUGGGGUAAAGGCCUACCAAGGCGACGAUCCGUAACUGGUCUGAGAGGAUGAUCAGUCACACUGGAACUGAGACACGGUCCAGACUCCUACGGGAGGCAGAAGUGGGGAAUAUUGGACAAUGGGCGAAAGCCUGAUCCAGCCAUGCCGCGUGUGUGAAGAAGGUCUUCGGAUUGUAAAGCACUUUAAGUUGGGAGGAAGGGCAGUAAGUUAAUGCCUUGCUGUUUUGACGUUACCAACAGAAUAAGCACCGGCUAACUUCGUG
RNAcentral lists this ribosomal RNA (484 nucleotides) under uncultured bacterium. RNAcentral's name for it is "partial 16S ribosomal RNA". It matches the Rfam family "Bacterial small subunit ribosomal RNA", at positions 30 to 507 of the family's 1533-position model. The record is from RNAcentral.